RNAcentral lists this ribosomal RNA (492 nucleotides) under uncultured bacterium. Its description in RNAcentral is "partial 16S ribosomal RNA". It matches the Rfam family "Bacterial small subunit ribosomal RNA", at positions 29 to 507 of the family's 1533-position model. The record is from RNAcentral.
AGUGAACGCUGGCGGUAGGCCUAACACAUGCAAGUCGAACGGCAGCACAGUAAGAGCUUGCUCUUACGGGUGGCGAGUGGCGGACGGGUGAGGAAUACAUCGGAAUCUACUUUUUCGUGGGGGAUAACGUAGGGAAACUUACGCUAAUGCCGCUUACGACCUACGGGUGAAAGCAGGGGAUCUUCGGACCUUGCGCGAUUGAAUGAGCCGAUGUCGGAUUAGCUAGUUGGCGGGGUAAAGGCCCACCAAGGCGACGAUCCGUAGCUGGUCUGAGAGGAUGAUCAGCCACACUGGAACUGAGACACGGUCCAGACUCCUACGGGAGGCAGCAGUGGGGAAUAUUGGACAAUGGGCGCAAGCCUGAUCCAGCCAUACCGCGUGGGUGAAGAAGGCCUUCGGGUUGUAAAGCCCUUUUGUUGGGAAAGAAAAGCAGCAGGUUAAUACCCCGCUGUUCUGACGGUACCCAAAGAAUAAGCACCGGCUAACUUCGUG